Long non-coding RNA from Numida meleagris (helmeted guineafowl), 2276 nucleotides. NCBI's taxonomy places the organism in Eukaryota, Metazoa, Chordata, Aves, Galliformes, Numididae. The record is from Ensembl.
GAAACGGCCGCGCCGCGGAGCGAGCAACGCGAGGCGUCUCGCGUAUGGGGUGAAUGGGGACGGAGCCCCACGGGACCCCGCGGUGAGCUCCUGGGGUGGCUAUGGGGCGGCUAUGGGGACAUUGCACGGUGGCUUUGGGGUGGUCGUGGUGUGGGAUGGGGGCUCAGGGUGCUGCUUGUGGGGUGAAUGGGGAUGGAGCCCUGUACGACCCCAUGGUGAGCUCAUGGGGUGGCUGUGGGGCAGCCAUGGGGUGGCUAUGGGGCGGCUAUGGGGACGUUGCACGGUGGCUUUGGGGUGGUCAUGGUGUGGGAUGGGGCUCAGGAUGCUGCUUGUGGGGUGAAUGGGGAUGGAGCCUUAUAGGACCCCCUGGUGAGCUUGUGGGGCAGUCAUGGGGCGGCCAUGGGGUGGCCAUAGGGUGGCUAUGGGGUGGCCAUGGGGUGGCCAUGGGGCAGCUAUGGGUUGGCUAUGGGGUGGCUAUGGGGUGGCCAUGGGGCGACGAUGGGGUGGCUAUGGGGUGGCCAUGGGGUGGCCAUGGGGUGGCCAUGGGGUGGCUAUGGGGUGGCCAUGGGGCGGCCAUCGGGCGGCUAUGGGGUGGCCAUGGGGUGGCCAUGGGGUGGCUAUGGGGCGGCUAUGGGGACAUUGCACGGUGGCUUUGCGGUGGUCGUGGUGUAGGAUGGUGGCUCAGUGUGAUGUUUGUAGGGUGUAUAGGGAUGGAGCCCUAUAGGACCCUGUGGUGAGCUCCUGGGGCAGCUAUGGGGCGGCUAUGGGGCGGCUAUGGGGACGUUGCAUGGUGGCUUUGGGGUGGUCGUGGUGUAGGAUGGUGGCUCAGUGUGAUGUUUGUAGGGUGUAUAGGGAUGGAGCCUUAUAGGACCCCAUGGUGAGCUUGUGGGGCAGCCAUGGGGCGGCCAUGGGGUGGCCAUGGGGCAGCUAUGGGGUGGCCAUGGGGUGGCUAUGGGACGGACAUGGGGCGGCCAUGGGGCAGCCAUGGGGCGGCUAUGGGUUGGCUAUGGGAUGGCCAUGGGGUGGCUAUGGGAUGAACAUGGGUUGGCUAUGGGAUGGCCAUGGGGCGGCUAUGGGGUGGCCAUGGGGUGGCCAUGGGGCAUCUAUGGGGCAUCUAUGGGGCAGCUAUGGGGCAGCCACGGGGCUGCAGCGCGGUGGCCUCAUGGCGGUGCCAUGGGCAGCAGCGUGGGAUGGGGACUUUGCUGCUGGCGGUGCUGGGAUCUCACGGGGACGAUGGGGANUGUUGCAAUGCUCCCGGUGCUGCUGCAAGGUUUGCACUCUGUGGGUAUUGCAAUGCUCCCAGUGUGGGUAUUGCAAUGCUCCUUGCACUGCUGCAGGGUUUGCAUCCUGUGGGUAUUGCAAUGCUCCUGGUGCUGCUGCAGGGUUUGCACCCCGUGGGUGUUGCAGUGCUCCCAGUGUGGGUAUUGCAAUGUUCCUUGCACUGCAACAAGAUUUGCACCCUGCGGGUAUUGCAAUGCUCCUUGCACUGCUGCAGGGUUUGCACCCUGUGGGUGUUGCAAUGCUCCCAGUGUGGGUAUUGCAAUGCUCCUUGCACUGCUGCAAGCUUUGCACCCUGCGGGUAUUGCAAUGCUCCCAGUGUGCAUAUUGCAAUGCUCCUUGCACUGCUACAAGGUUUGCACCCUGCGGGCAUUGCAACGCUCCCAGUGUGGGUAUUGCAGUGCUCCUUGCACUGCUGCAGGGUUUGCACCCUGUGGGUAUUGCAAUGCUCCCAGUGUGGGUAUUGCAAUGUUCCUUGCACUGCAGCAGGGUUUGCACCCUGCAGGUAUUGCAGUGCUCCUUGCACUGCUGCAAGGUUUGCACCCUGCGGGUAUUGCAGUGCUCCUUGCACUGCUGCAAGGUUUGCACCCUGUGGGCACUGCAAUGCUCCCGGUGCUGCUGCAAGGUUUGCAUGCUGUGGGCACUGCAAUGCUCCUUGCACUGCUGCAAGGUUUGCACCCUGCGGGUAUUGCAAUGCUCCUUGCACUCCUGCAGGGUUUGCACCCUGCGGGUAUUGCAAUGCUCCCAGUGUGGGUAUUGCAAUGCUCCUUGCACUGCUGCAAGGUUUGCACCCUGUGGGCAUUGCAGUGCUCCUUGCACUGCUGCAGGGUUUGCAUCUCAUGGGCACUGCAAUGCUCCUGGUGCUGCUGCAGGGUUUGCACCCUGCGGGCAUUGCAAUGCUCCUGGUGCUGCUGCAGGGUUUGCACACCGCAGGUAUUGCAAUGCUCCUUGCAUUGCUGCAGGGUUUGCACCCUGUGGGUAUUGCAAUGCUCCUUGCA